GAUGUCUGGAUAACUGUGGCAAUUCUAGAGCUAAUACAUGCAAUCAAGCUCCAACCUUCGUGGGACGAGCGCUCUUAUUAGACCAAGGCCAACCUGCUGGGCAACUGGCAGUUAGCUGUGGUGACUCUGGAUAAACACAGUUGAUCGCACGACUUUACGUCGGCGACGUAUCUUUCAAGCGUAUGCCCUAUCAGCUGUCGACGGUAGGGUAGCGGCCUACCGUGGCAUCAACGGGUAACGGGGGAUCAGGGUCCGAUCCCGGAGAGUAAGCCUGAGAGACGGCUUACACAUCUAAGGAAGGCAGCAGGCGCGCAAAUUACCCAAUGGGGAAACCCUGAGGUAGUGACAAGAAAUAACAAUACGCGACUCUUUCGAGGCCGCGUAAUUGGAAUGAGCACAGUCUAAAUCCUUUAGCGAGGAUCAAUUGGAGGGCAAGUCUGGUGCCAGCAGCCGCGGUAAUUCCAGCUCCAAUAGCGUAUAUUAAAGUUGCUGCAGUUAAAAAGCUCGUAGUUGACAAUCGGCGCUCGUCUCGGUGGUCCUGUUCACGCAGGCACUGCCUUGACGGCCUCUACACACUGGCUUGAGGUCGUGCAGGCUGGGAGACUGGCAGC
This 611-nucleotide ribosomal RNA is filed under the name Spirobranchus sp. SR-2018. RNAcentral describes it as "bacterial SSU rRNA". It matches the Rfam family "Eukaryotic small subunit ribosomal RNA", at positions 134 to 734 of the family's 1831-position model. The record is from RNAcentral. Lineage: Eukaryota; Metazoa; Annelida; Polychaeta; Sabellida; Serpulidae.